This 223-nucleotide unclassified non-coding RNA is filed under the name Hevea brasiliensis (rubber tree). Lineage: Eukaryota; Viridiplantae; Streptophyta; Magnoliopsida; Malpighiales; Euphorbiaceae. The record is from RNAcentral.
GGACGAAGGGACAGCUUGGACACUUGCCGAAACAUGGCCACCAUAUCUUGAUUUGGACCAUCUAUAGUGACUUUCUGGUGUCCAAAAAUCAAAAAUAUCUAUUUUUGGUAAUUCAACAGCCCUCUUGUCAGUGGUGGAGGAACCAACAAACGACUGGUCCAAGAAGGUUUGACUAAUUAAAACAUCCUUAACAGCAUCAGGAGCAUCAAAUACUUGGUCAAGC